CCCCCCCCCCCCCCCCCGCCCCCUUUUCCCUCCCUUUCCUCCCUGCCCGCAGCCGGGACCGGAGCCUCCUCAGCGUACCCCCGAUGCCUGCGCAGCCCCCUGCCGCAAUAAGCCCCAAAUUUGGAAUGUAAGUUUGGGAUAGGAACUGGGAUAGAGACACCUGCUCAAAGCUGUGCCAUCUGCUUGCAAGGCAGCUGUCCCUACCUGCACCAGCACAGCUCUGGCACUCUAGGAAGCAUUUCCAUGUCUGUACCCCUUGUCUGAGUCCACUCCUGGUCUGUGGGCCUCCACGAUGAAGCAAUCCUGGAUCCUUAACCCACUGCCUCCGACUUUCCCAGCCUGCUGCCUCGGUUCUCCUCUCACAGCUGUAGGGAUUUCAGCUUUUCAAAGUCCGGUUUGAUUCAGUCUGUCAACACAGGAACUUAUAUUUGGCAUAAAAUCUUGUUGGGACCACAAAGUUAUAAUUUUAUAGUUAAAUACAUCAUGUUUUUCUGGGAAAACUUAAAGGCAGUGGAUAAUGGAGGCAGAUUAGGAUUUGGCAGUUUAUCAGACUCUCAAGGAAACUCUCCCUGAGUAAAUGCUCUUUCAGUGGGAAUAUUUACGGUUCAGGAAGCAACACUUAAAAUUUUCCUUGCCAUGAAAGAAUUCUGCACAAUCCCAUAGAAGAAGGUGGCGAGUUACCCCAAAGACGACUACCCUGGUUACUACCUGUAACGAUGCAUCCCUCUUCCAUGAAACAGGCAGGCGUAAGAAAAUACCUCUGACAGGGAAUGACUCUUUGAGAGCAGGACAUAGACAUUUUAGUUAUAGGGAGCAGAAGACUAACAGACAUGAAUACAAAUUUGCAGUGGAUAAAACACUUAUCCUGGUGCAUUUUGAAGAAAAUCUGUUCCUGUUUUGUUAGCAUGUCCUAGAGAUGACUUCUUUUCAGAGAAUUACCUUUCACCAUUUUAGAUUUCAGAGAAGUACGAUUCCCAGAAGUUCAGGGAUUCUUUUCACUGAACUGACUUUGAAGAAAAGAUCUGUUUCAUUCUGUGCCUAGCCUCUUCCCUUUCUGUCUCCCCUUAUCAUGUUUGAGAAGCCAGUACCACCAGUGGCAUCCACCCUGCAGGCUCCGUGCCCCUGCCAGCCCUGCAGACGGUGGGCAGGAGCAAAGCUCCUUGCAGGGACUGGGCACAAACUUGCUUUAAAUAUUACUGAAAAAUCCUAAUCUGAAUCUCGGUACCAGAUACCCAUUCAUUUAUUAAAAGCAAAUACAGCAGACAACUAAUGGUGCGCUUUUUCUAUUAUUCAAACCUGCUGCUAACAAUGAAGAAGAUGAUGUCAUUCCCUGGAUGUGACAAAGGACUAAUAUUAUAUGCAGUAAAAACAAUGAGUCAACAGUUUCUAUGCCCUUGAGGUCAAAGCAUUCAACAGCUUGGAAAGUAGACUGUUCUUUUUGUGCACAGAACUUGUAGUUGUAUAUUAAUACAAAAUUUUUUAAAAGCAAGAUAUAAUUAAAAAAAACACCCAUACUUUUUCAGUUUCAAACAGGAUUUUUCAAAUUAAAAGUCCAAUGGACAUAUCUUAUAAUAUAAAGUAACCGAUACAAAUUUUGCCCAGAUAUUUCAAGCAUAAUAUUGCAAACCACUUUUUUUUUUUUUUUGGUCAAAAAUACGUCAUCAUCUAUGUUAAGUUAUCGUUUGUGUGAUCUUGAGAGGCACUUUGCAAUUCCCAGUAACAUUAGUAAGAGCUGUGAGUAUUAAUACAGCAACUAAAUAAUACGAAAUGUUCCGGAGCUAUUUUGUAAUGGUCUGAAAGAUAAGAAAGACCUUUAACAUGGAAUUGUGGUUUGAGAGACAACUGAAAGCAAGGAGUCUAAGAACCAAAGUUUCCCAGAUUUUCUGGGAUACACGAGGUAUGGACCAAAACCUGGCCCUCUAACCACAGCUGCACCUCGCUCAGGCGAGUGCAAGAGACACCUAGUGCCGACACAGAUCCUUUCUUCAGUCAACCUAAAUCAUUAUAGAGGAUUAUUAUCUUCCUCAUACAGACAGUGAAACCAAAGCACAGAGAAGUGACAGCUCAAGGUCAUUUAAAAGUCAGGAGAGUUUGGAAAAGAACCCAGAUUUCUCAAUCCCUGCCCAGCGCUCUGCCCACUGGGCUUCGCUGCCUCACCGAGAAUCGGCUUGAUACGGCUCCUUUGUGAAACCAGACCUGAUUUAACAACUUCCCAAAGUUUUCAAUGCAUCAUAUGGUUGUCUAUAACAAUUUUAUUUUGUGGAAAAAACAGGCUUGUCUGAUUAGAUCGGGCUGCUGACACACGACCAAGUGCAAGGGAAUCCUAGGCCAGUUGCAGUCACUGUUCCUGUUGUCCUUGCAGAGCACAUUCAGGGACAGGAGAGCACACUGGAUUGUACCUAGAUGGGCUUCUGUGUGGGACGAAAUAUCAUUUUGCCUGCGCCAAUACUAGCUGACAGUGUUUUGCCUUAAAAUGAGCCUUAGUGUGGAAUAAACAAUAUUCAGCAUCCUGACCAUUAAUUGAAAUUAAACCUCAGGCUCUGAAUCCCAAGGAAUUUCUUCUGGCACGCUGACAAAGGCUAUGCAAAGUUUUCUCGGUAUAUGCUGACCUCUUUAUUGUGUCACCUACAAAAACGGGUUCAGGCAUAACUGGUACAGUAGUUCCCAGGCCCAGGUGAUUACUUACCCAAAGUAUGGAAGAGCACAUCUGGCAGGGCCGCUGGUCAGCAUCCUGGCAGCUUUGUUAAAGAGCUAAGUGCAAGAGGCAUGGCUCAGUUUGAUCUUUAAACUCUGUGUCUUCUAAUGCAAGAAACUCUUAUCUUUUAGACGUGUAAACAUUUAAACCCUAAAGGUAUCCCAGGUGUUUCAGAGUUCAAGCAAGACGAGGAAGGUUCUGUGUUGUCCAACAGCCACGAGGGCUGCAGGGCUCCACGCAGCUCCUUGCAAGCGACAGAACUCACGGGAUUUUAACAAGGAGGACGUGCUAGGGCACUUCAGUUGAAACAUACACAUUUCCACGGAAAAUUCAGUGACAAGUUGCUCUUAUAAACUGAAACAAAAUCAGACAAAUUUGAGACAAGGCAAAAUGAAGAGACUAAAGGAACUUACAGAACGUCCUCUGGAUAACUCGAGCUAAUUACAAAUCGUAUGGCUUGUAGGGCCGGGUAUUUUCAUUUCCAUUGCAAUUGACCCUCCAUAGUCUUCAUUAAGGAAGGACACAAUGAUUUUGAUGUUGUGUAAGAGUGAUGAAACAUAUGUGAAAUUGACAGACGUUAGAACCCCUUUUUGAAGUCACGAGCUAUUUCUGCAGGCAGCAUCUCUCACUGCUUAAUGAAAGCCAGCGCCUGAACGCACUGCAGAGUCACGCGUGCUGCAGCCACGUUAGGUGUGGUGUUCCACAGAACACAUGUGUUUGUUCCUUUCCCAUGACUCACACAAAUGCAAAUAAAGUUAUUAUUGGUCUAUUUAAUAAAUAGACCUAUGAAGAAAAAAGUGAAACGUGGCUCAUAUCUUACGGUGCUCCCAGAAGGGAUCUUUUCCUGACCUUUGCUUUUAAAGCCCUGAUCCCAGCAACACACUUUGAAAACUUGCAUAACAUUAAGUAUUCCAAGUACUAUUGAAGCUGCUCCUUUGUUAAACAGGAUAUUACAAGUUUAAACCAGAGACAGGGAUUCCUACUCAGGAAAAUACUGAAGGUCGUAUUUAAAAUUAAGCAUAUCUUCAUAUUAUCUUGCAAAUGAAAGCUUACCUAAGCAGGUGACACUUCCAAAAGAAUACUAUAAUGAGCCCCCCCAAACGCAAAGCCAUAUUAAUAUUAACUUAGAGGCAUCAACCACACUGUUAUAUCAAAAUUUUGCUAAUACGAGAUCUGACAAAACUGAAGUUCUGUUCAGCAUUAGUUUGACUGUCAGCACAAAAAUUUCAAACUAGUAGCAUUUAUAAAUUCAUAAAGACAAAUGUACUCUGAAUGUUAAAUAAUCUAGAUAGGAAAUGACAAAAAGCUGUUAAUGAAAUUGUGCAGCAUCAUUAGGCUUUGGGCUGCUUCGCGUAUGUGCUCACCACGUCGCCAUUAGACCUGUUAGUAGGUCAAUCCUUUAUUAUUUGUUGCAGCGUCUGUUUAGAACCUCACUCAUAACUAUCAUUUCGACAAAUCGAUUUAAAAAACAGUUUACACAGUAUAGCAUGAUAUUAUUGACCUGUAACAGUAUUGCAAGCUCCAGGAUUAUGAACAGGAAAAGUAUCAAAUAGCAUCAGCUCUAAUUCUGAUUUUAUCCCGCGAUACAAUUGACAUCAGCCGCAGUAUGGAUAUAGGUUUAGCUAUGGCCCAGAGGUUUAUAUUUUUGGGGUGUAUUAAUUUGUUUCACAGUUUUACUGUUACUUUCCUCCUGUAUUAAUACAGGCAAGAAUGUUUCAUAAUAUUAAAAACCACAUCCCUGUUUAGCUGGAAGGCCUUUUGAAAGAACAUCAUAUGCUGUCCUUUAUUCCAUAAAGUUAAUCUUUGUCUUACUUUUCUCUUCCUUGGUAAUUUUCUAUUGUUGGUAGGAACAAGAGGGAAACUUUAGACCAAGUUUAAUCUAUUUUCCUAUGUGAAACAAAGUAAGAAGUAGGCAUAGCAUGCAUAAUAUCAAUGUUUUGUCAGUUAAAUGUUGUCUGUGGAGAAGGGGUUGGCAUAGCAAUUCCAAUGGAUCCUCCUUCCCUCUUCUGGACACAUCCAUACCCACUUCCAGGAGGGAACUUGGGAGAUCCCUGGUUUGAUCAGUAUUUUUCCUAACUGCAUGGUCAGGUCUGAAGCCUAUGCUGUUAAAGAGAAAUGGCGCGAGAGGCUCUGAGAGGGCCCCAACGUACGCCACCUCUGAUGACCCCAAAUCCCGCAUCCCGGGAGCAGCAGCAGGAGCAGAUGCCUUUUUUCCAGUCAAGGCUGGAGCCAAUCUGUUCCUGAAUGGCAAGACAGGGUUGGGGGUGUUGGGUGGAGAACAGGCCUGUUCCCGAAUCCUAAUACUAGACCAGCAAGCACAGAGGGACUCAGGUAAAUGGGAAUGGUGGGUAGGCUUUCCUAGCGAGCCGAAGGAACAGGGCAGGAUUUUAGAUGGGAUAAUUUUCCUGCGGAAUACAUCAUCUGCCCGAUCAGUUAGAAUUAUUACCCAAGCAGAGCAUUCUACAUAGCUAGAAAGUUAUUACUCAUUCUCAAUAACAGAAACCCCGCACUGUGGUUUCAGUGACACACUGACAAUUUAUUUUGAUCUUUCGUGUAUUUUUAGAUGGAGCUGUACUGUCUCCUUCCUGACCAUGGAUCAGAGUCCAUACUGAAAAAAAAUAUUUUUAAAGCGAUUAAGAAUAAAAGUUCAUGUGAAUUUACUUGUAAAGGCUGGCUAUGGCCUCCUGUAAUGAAUUGGCUUUUUUCCCCAGAAGUCUUGCUCAGUACUAAUUAGGAAAUUGCCUACUUUCUUUUGUAAAUGCUGUAUUCUGUCUGAGUUUUUUGACAAGAAUAAAAUACUGCCUUUUAAACAGGGGUGGAUGUUAUCACUUCAAACGUGCUUAUAUGUAUUUCCUGCGCUUAGAUACAGCCUAGCAAUAACAAUACCACAAUUACCAGAACGUAUAAUCUAUAGUGCAGCCCUGUGUAAAUCAACACAUAGCUGAAGGAGUCGCACACAUCCUGCAGGAUACCACUGCCGUUCUUGAUUGUUUCCGGUUAACGCUGUGCAUCUGCAGGAUGAUUUCUGAGAUGUGUGCUCAGGCUGACUCCUUAUUUUGACUACUGGAAGUAACCUCCUUCUAAUAUUUAAUGGGACCUAAAUAUAGAUUUAGGUAUAGACAUAGAGCUGAAGCAUAUUUUGUUCACGGUUGACUAUAUGGGAAACCACAAAACCAGACUUAAGAGGAAAAACGGUUUUGAUGUUUUAAAAAUGCUCAGGGAUUUCCAACAAGAAUGCAAAAUCAUUGUAAACAUUGCAAGGGCAAAUGUUCAGAAUUUCAGUUUGGUUGUUAAAUUACUAAAAUAAUGCAUACCUGGGUUUUACACACGGUGGAAACUUAAAUGUAUCAUCUGAGAUGUUCUGCCAUUCCCUUUAGAAUUAAGCAUCGUUUCUUCUUUAUGUAAAAUAUCUGAAAAAUGCAGACUUUUGAAAGUAAUUUUAUGAAGUCAAAGAAAGAGCUUAGUCCAAACUAAAACAGAACUACAUAAUUGUAAUUGCAACACACACUGCAGCCAUACACUGAGAACUAUCUUACAGGAAUACUCUGACCAAAUGCCACUGUCACGAUUCAGUUAGUCCAAACUAACUACCUGGACUGACUGGCUCAGAAAUUAAAUCUAGUUGACCUGUUCAGUGACUUCGUACUUUUAGCUAGUUCUCUGACUUUUCCAAACAGAUGUUCAAACUGCUGCAAAGUUUUAAAAUACUGUAAACCACUUCAAAAUAUAAUUUUAAAAUAUGAUCCUUUAAAAAAAAAAAAAAAAAAAAGUGGUGGCAGUUGUGUUAUUUGACAGCUUCCAGAAUUGGACUCCAUAAACUUCUGACUCUCGUUCUGCUUUAGAGCUGGGACUCAGACCAUCUUUCAUGGGUAUUUAUACUUUCCACUGAGUCUCUUACAAGCCACUAGAAUUUCAGUAUGUUUUAAAAUAAUAACGUAGCAAUUUAGAGAAAAUAUGUUAUGCAAACCCUGUUAUUUUUCUCUUUCUGAUACAGGUCUACCAUACCAAACAGAUUGCAGCAGGAAGCAACAGUCAACACAGUGCUUUUAAAUUAUCCCUUUUUCUUGCUGCUUUUGGUACAAAAUAACAUGAUGAGUAAAUGACUAUCUCUUGCAGAAGCUCAUAGGGUGCUUCAGCUCUUCUGGGACACGUAAGUCUGCUACAAAAGAGUGUAGCCGUUCAGAUCCACACGAAGAACUUCUUCCUGUGAAACUUACUGACUUUUCUGUACUGGGUGGUUAAUUCCUGUGCUUGUUUUACAUUCCCUGUUAUUGCCUUUUAUUUUCUCUAGUCUGCCUUGUGUAGAAAGAUGCUCAGAAAGUUGCUCCCCUGUCCUAAAUGCAGUUUGGUAUGGCUGCUUUUCUAACCAUGAUUGAAGAAAAAAAGACUACUACUACUACUACUAAAUUUUACCUGUAUAUACCAAUCCAGCUGUUUUCAUACCAGGUCCCUCUGUGCACUUUGUACCCCUCUGGAAUUAAUAGUCAACUGUACAUUAUCAUAUGGCAGGGUAAUAGUGAAGCUGGCUAUCCCUGCAGGCAGGAAAAGGCUCUGAAAAUCAGGCUGCAAUGUGCCACAGCCACCCUAGGGUGACUGCGUGGAAGCUGGCUUUGUUAAAGCUGGGGAUGAACUAUUCUGCUUGCCUGGAUGCAGGCGGACUCCUGUGGUACUGCUGCAAGGACUGGGCGUACAUCUCCUUGUGCUCCCCGUGAGAAAACACAUCGGUGGGGCACGGCCUCUGCACUGGUAGCUCUGCUAGGACAUGCGCAGCUCUGCUGGCCUGAAGUGUUUACAGAUCCAGUUCUACACUCUUCCUCAGCCCGUCUGCUUAACCCUGAGCCGCCUCUUCAUCUCUGAGCACGGUUUUGGACUGUCACAGGUGUGGGGUGGUGCUCCCACGCAGACAGCAGGCAGACACAGGAGCGAUUUAAAAAAAACAAGCUUGCAAACCUGUGAUGUCCUUAUACAUGCAGAUGAUAUCAUGCUUCUAAAAUAAUUAUUAAUUCAUUAAUGAUGCAGAUACGUUAGUUAUAAAGGGCAGGCAGAAUUAUCAAAUCAUAUUUGUCUUAUUUAUUGCUAACUUUUUAGCUGUGGCACCACCUUGUGGACAUUACUACAUGGAAUGAAAAGGUGGCUGGUGGCAACAAAAGCAGCUGGAACAGAGCACGCAUUUUUGAAAAACGACAAUUAUAUUCACACAUGAUUUGCUAAAGCAGCAUAAAAUAACUAAAUUAAAAACCGAUUCCUAAAAAUCCCCUCAUGAAACAAAAUGUAUAAUAAAUACUGUCAUCAGUGCAGUUUUUACCAGCUCUUCUGAGCAUCGGCCAAGAAGUGCGGUAGCCUUCAAAACUAUUUUUGUUCCUUCUUGAUUGAUUAACUAGCAGCAUCUGAACCCCAGUCCUGCUGUUGCUGUGCAAACAGACACGACUUGUGCACGUAUCCUAAGCAACACGGCUUGCAAAAUCAGAACCAUACUACUGAACACAUGGAGAAAACCUUAGGUCCUACUCCAUAAAUGUAAACUCAACAGUGAGAUUAGUGUCCAAGCUAAGCCGCAAGGAAAAUAAUCUCCGACAGAGAUGAACUGGUGGAUCUUUUAAAUGCUUGCUGAAAAACAAAACGAAACAAAAAACAUAUUUAAAUUCCACUCUGUUGACAUUAGAUUCCCAGAACCUUUCACAAUGGAGUAACAGGGUGUUACUGUUCGGAGUACUCCAUCUGCUACAUGGGCGAAUCAGUAAAGCACAGAGGAGUCAGAAUUUUAAAGAGGAGAUCUCCAGGUUGUGUACAGCCUAUAUCCAGCCUGCAUGUGCUUAUCUGUAUUCCCAAGGUAUUAAGCUUGGGAAGCAUAAUUAAACAUUGAAUUGCGUUUUCUAUUUCAACCUCUUCAAAAAGUAACUGCAUGCAACUUGUUAUUUACGUAUCUACAUUUACUAAGCAUAAAGGGAAGGUGGAGGAGAAGACAAAGACUUGGACCAAGUUUCUCCCCUCCUGGAUCGUCAACAGACUGUGCUGAACUCUGCCUGGAGAUCUCAUGUGCAUAAACCCUGGUGGAGAAGAGCAGCUUCUGUGUCUCCGGCAUAGUACUGGGGCACAGACCCCUCAUUUCAUGUCUCUUCUUCAAAUAUGUGCCUUCACAAGCCAAACACUUCAGGCCCUUGGACUAACAGUGACCAUACCACAGUCCCUUCCCAAAGUCUCCUUAGGAGUAUAUGAAAGUUCACCCACUGGAGCAUUUCCAUUUCUAGUUUAACUCUCUGACAAAUAUGUAACUAUUAAAGCAAGGCACGGAAACCCUGCAGCCUUCAGCUGAGAAAACAUCUAGCUGUCUCGGUUGAGUAUUUUUUCUUUGUUAGACAGUAUCUCUUUUGAAAUGAAGUUUGCACAAGUUUCUUUCUUCUUACCUUUCCUGGAUUUGUGUGCAUUCACAAACUGUUCCCAAUUCAUCAUCACAGUGAUAGGAAUAACCAGUAAAUCAAGUUUUUGAUUUGGCAGCCUCCGAAGCUGCUCCACAAGUGUCCACUGCUGUUGCGCCAUUUCUAACUGGAGUGUUACAGCAAACAUCACAGUUCAUUAAAUUGAAUGAAAUUAAUAAACACAGGUAGUUAAAAAACUUACAGGGAUGCCUGCCGAACAUCUAAGGUAGCUUUUAGAAGAAGUGGUCUAGUGUUGAGAAGACCAAACCACUCUGGGAAGAAGCCAAGCACAGAACGUCUCAGCCUAGCCACAAUGACAUCCUGAGCACCGCCAGCCAGGGAAGAGAACUCGUCUCCAACGGAGUCUGCGGAUCCUGCCCUAAGCCGGGGCUUACUGGGUCUUGGUGACACGUUACUCGCACGCAUUGCACAAUAUAGUACAUAGUUCUCAAUUCUUACAGUUUCGUAUCUUCAGUAAAGGAGGUAAAUAACCACUGCUGCCACCCACUGCUGCAUAGUCUCGGCAGAAGGGGGAUGAGGAGUACAGACAGCCAAGGCAUUGGUGUGGCCUCUGAAGACUUCUAGCUGAAAAUAAUCUGAUUUACAGGUUUUGAACCGAGAAAGAAACCUAGAUGACAAUGAAAUUCAGAGUCAAAUCUACUCUUUGUUAAAUAACCACUUCCCAUAAUAAUGUUCAUGGUCAGAGAAGUUACCAGCUGAAAACUGAAGACUGAAGGAGAUGACAGGUAUAGAGUUAAAAUAGCUAAAGCAACCUCCGAGGUAGUCCAUUCCAUAAUAAUGUCACC
This is a long non-coding RNA of Falco peregrinus (peregrine falcon), 9917 nucleotides long. RefSeq lists it as uncharacterized. The transcript is spliced from 3 exons. NCBI's taxonomy places the organism in Eukaryota, Metazoa, Chordata, Aves, Falconiformes, Falconidae. The record is from RefSeq and is a predicted model, not a curated record.